This is a long non-coding RNA of Hyla sarda, 863 nucleotides long. RefSeq lists it as uncharacterized. The record is from RefSeq and is a predicted model, not a curated record. The transcript is spliced from 4 exons. Lineage: Eukaryota; Metazoa; Chordata; Amphibia; Anura; Hylidae.
UGCACACGGUGCGGUCACCGGCCCGCGCUCCUCCUAGGCUCCUCCUCCCGCUCGGCUUUUUGGCGGGAGUCUCGCCACAAGAUGGCGCCAUACCCGCGCGCUUCCCCACAGGGACCAAUGUGAAAACUUCAAGUCCCGUCAUGGCUACGGCACGGGCAUGCUGGGAGUUGUAGUUCUGCCACAGGUACGGUAUGCUCGGGCACGCUGGCUGCAUUCCUAGAGGACCGGUUUCCAGCGCCCGCCUUAUCGCUCCCUUAUUCUGUCAUCUCUGGAUUUCAUCAUGUCCACGAUGAGUCACGGCCGAGUCACGGGUGCCUCCAUCUGUUUAAAAACUACAACUUCCAGCAUGCCCGGAAAGCCAUAGGCCUUUCAUCCUCAUCCAGAGGAUCCAUACUGUCCCUGAAAGGUAAAUCAAGGCUUCCCUUUCAUUCCAUCCCUCGAUGUAGUGGUCUUCAAACUGCAGCCCUGCAGCUGUUGCAAGACAACAACUUUCAGCAUGCCGGACAGCCAGAAGCCUUUCAGCCUCCUCCAGAGGAUCCGCACUAUCCCUAAAAAGCGCUCGCCCUGAACUUGUCACUUUUGUCACUUCUGGAACUGUCAGCGAUAUAUCUAAACGCUCGAGAACUCUCCUCCAGCGGAACCGGAUCUUCCAGAUUCCCCAAAUAUUCGGCCAUUUUAUCUCAAGAAGAUAAAGAAUAUUUCUGGCUAAAGUCGACCAAACAAGUCAAGAACAGAAAAUAGGAAAGUCCCGCGUACGGUGGAUCGGCCGAAAAACUUUUGUGUCCCUUAUUUUUUUUUGUUUUCGUGUUCUGUGUCACAGUUUUUGUGGCAUUUAAAAAAAGUUGAAAAAUAAAUAGUUUGUA